UCCCAACCGGCCACCCACGAUCCCCAAUUUCAGGCCGCAUGGCCGCUCGCCGCCGGGUGCUACUCCGCCCCGAGCACCGUCAAUGUCUCCGUUGCCUGCUCAGGUCCGCCCUCUUCAUCCCCCUCCCCUCAUCGUCCUCCAUUGCCCCGAGCUCCCGUCGCCGCGCCGCAGACCACCUGCUCCUCCCGAUGCACUGCCCACGCGCGGCCACGUCUCACCUAGCUGUCCACUCGCGCGUCUCCUACCUCGGUGGUUCAGCGAGCGGCGCCGGCAGCCAUGGCAAACUGCCAUGGGUGCGGCCAGUCCGAGCUCCAGUUUAGGCAGGUCGGUCCAAAAAGAAAAGAAAAAACCGUGACCCCGUCCUCCAAUACGCCACCUGCUCCCAUCCAUUCAGCACCGCCACCCGCUUCAGCACCUGCUCGUCGGCCGCCGCCGUGCAAAGCGACCUGCCCAGCUCUUCGUCCCGCCUGCCUACGCCGGUAGGCUUUCCACCACAGCCACGCACCACUUCGCCUCCCCCUGCCCAUUGCCUCCUACACAAUCGCCUUGAAUAACAGGAGCUGCAUCUCAUCUCUCUCCCUGUAGUGGUGGUCACGGGCUGAUGUUGCUACUCCUCUCCAUCAGGAUCUAUCUCUUUCUCAUUGUCUCUAUCUCUCUCUCAUGGAUCGGCAACUGCAUUCUUCCCAAAUAUGUGUGCCCCUCUGCUCUGGAUAUUACGCCCACAACAUGUUUGAUGUUAUGCUUAUGAGGAGUUGAACUUCAAUUUUUUCAAGUUUUUCUUUGGUGUAGGCAUUCAGGCCUAGUGUAAUUUCUUUUCAAAAGUGAACAUGUUGUACAGUCCAAUGUAUCUAGGAAAAUUAAGUUAUGGAGAGUUGUUCAUCAUGUUGCUUGCAUAUUUUUUUUGUCUAACAAACUAGAUACUUCAAUUUUGGAUAUAAACAUUGAGUACGUGCUGAAAUAUUUCGCUAAUAAUAGUUUCCAACUUGCUUUUUAGCAGAACUACAGAACUAUUUGCAGCUUUUAAUUAUGUGUACUUAAAAUGGAUUUGGUGUCCAGGACAUGUGGAGUUGACAUCAAGUUGAAUUAUGUGCUGAUGUUCUUCGAUAGAAUAAUUGUUCUUCUCCUUUAAAAAUGAUGGACCAUUGACUUAUUUUUUUUAGAUGCUCAAAUACACACACAAACGACAUCCAGUAAGUGCUUGGACACCCGGCAGAUUGAAAGUACAGAAGCAAAGAUAUCCAAUACGAGGCCACGAUGCCCGACAGAGACGCGGCCAAUAUGCUCCUAAUCUUUAUUUCUUGAUUUUGGAACCACAAGUAAGAGCAUGUUCAUGUUUACUUAUUAUUAUUUUUUUGGAGAAAUUUUGGGGAUUUAUAAGCUGAAAUUAUUGACUGUUUGAAAAAAAAUGUUUUAACCAAAACUGUUUGAACAAUGUUGCCCUGGUUCUGCAUUCAUGGAAUUGCUAAAAAAGUUGAACAAGUUCAGUCAGAGUUUUGUCCCUGUUAAUAUUCAGUUUGAAGUGCCAGUUUGUUUCCACUUGCUCAUCUUAAUGUUGAACUAUACAUGUACUUAUCUUUAAAGUUUUGUUGUCUUCAUGAACUAAUUAGAUUUUCAGCACUACUGAACUAAUUGGAUGCCAUCUUAAAUUACCUUCCCUUUGAUAUUAUUGUACAGAUUCCUGGAACACUGCCCAGUGUUUCAGCUGCGUACAUGUCUACAACAAUACUAGCAGAUCUGAAUUUGUGUUGCUAAGGUGUAGACUAACCUGACUUCGAGGGAAAAACAUGGAGAUUAGAGUGCCCUUUUUUCCCUUCCAAUUCCAUUUUCAGCAGCUAUCAGACAUGCAUAGACAAUUUACUUUUGAGUACUUACAAUAUUAUUUUGCUACUUGCAGAGUUGUUCAAGUGGUAAUUUGUUUUACAAAUUUCUACAAC
Molecule: long non-coding RNA, 1934 nt
Filed under: Triticum aestivum (bread wheat)
Lineage: Eukaryota; Viridiplantae; Streptophyta; Magnoliopsida; Poales; Poaceae
Description: long non-coding RNA (TAES_LNC028138)
Source: RNAcentral